CGGGACAUAGCUCAGUUUGAUUAGAGUGCUUGGUUUGGGACCAAGAGGUCGCAGGUUUGAAUCCUGUUGUCCCGACCA
This 78-nucleotide transfer RNA is filed under the name Microbacterium esteraromaticum. RNAcentral describes it as "tRNA-Pro". It matches the Rfam family "tRNA". Rfam says of the family: Transfer RNA (tRNA) molecules are approximately 80 nucleotides in length. Their secondary structure includes four short double-helical elements and three loops (D, anti-codon, and T loops). Further hydrogen bonds mediate the characteristic L-shaped molecular structure. tRNAs have two regions of fundamental functional importance: the anti-codon, which is responsible for specific mRNA codon recognition, and the 3' end, to which the tRNAs corresponding amino acid is attached (by aminoacyl-tRNA synthetases). tRNAs cope with the degeneracy of the genetic code in two manners: having more than one tRNA (with a specific anti-codon) for a particular amino acid; and 'wobble' base-pairing, i.e. permitting non-standard base-pairing at the 3rd anti-codon position. The record is from RNAcentral. Lineage: Bacteria; Bacillati; Actinomycetota; Actinomycetes; Micrococcales; Microbacteriaceae. RNAcentral also lists the same sequence under 5 other names.